AUUGAACGCUGGCGGCAUGCCUUACACAUGCAAGUCGAACGGCAGCACGGGUGCUUGCACCUGGUGGCGAGUGGCGAACGGGUGAGUAAUACAUCGGAACAUGUCCUGUAGUGGGGGAUAGCCCGGCGAAAGCCGGAUUAAUACCGCAUACGAUCCACGGAUGAAAGCGGGUGACCUUCGGGCCUCGCGCUAUAGGGUUGGCCGAUGGCUGAUUAGCUAGUUGGUGGGGUAAAGGCCUACCAAGGCGACGAUCAGUAGCUGGUCUGAGAGGACGACCAGCCACACUGGGACUGAGACACGGCCCAGACUCCUACGGGAGGCAGCAGUGGGGAAUUUUGGACAAUGGGCGAAAGCCUGAUCCAGCAAUGCCGCGUGUGUGAAGAAGGCCUUCGGGUUGUAAAGCACUUUUGUCCGGAAAGAAAUACUUGGCUCUAAUACAGUCGGGGGAUGACGGUACCGGAAGAAUAAGCACCGGCUAACUACGUG
This 486-nucleotide ribosomal RNA is filed under the name uncultured bacterium. RNAcentral's name for it is "partial 16S ribosomal RNA". It matches the Rfam family "Bacterial small subunit ribosomal RNA", at positions 30 to 507 of the family's 1533-position model. The record is from RNAcentral.